UACGAAGGGGGCUAGCGUUGUUCGGAAUUACUGGGCGUAAAGGGCGCGUAGGCGGUGUGUCAAGUCAGGCGUGAAAGCCCCGGGCUUAACUUGGGAAUUGCGCUCGAAACUACUUUGCUGGAGUGUGGCAGAGGAAGGUGGAAUUCCACGUGUAGCGGUGAAAUGCGUAGAGAUGUGGAGGAACACCAAUGGCGAAGGCAGCCUUCUGGGCCAACACUGACGCUCAUGCACGAAAGCGUGGGGAGCAAACAGG
Molecule: ribosomal RNA, 253 nt
Filed under: uncultured bacterium
Lineage: Bacteria
Description: partial 16S ribosomal RNA
Rfam family: Bacterial small subunit ribosomal RNA
Source: RNAcentral